Molecule: small nucleolar RNA, 131 nt
Filed under: Sphenodon punctatus (tuatara)
Lineage: Eukaryota; Metazoa; Chordata; Lepidosauria; Sphenodontia; Sphenodontidae
Description: Small nucleolar RNA SNORA71 (ENSSPUG00000006354.1)
Rfam family: Small nucleolar RNA SNORA71
About the family: The members of this family belong to the H/ACA class of snoRNAs which bind a number of proteins (including dyskerin, Gar1p and Nop10p) to form snoRNP complexes. This class of snoRNAs are thought to guide the sites of modification of uridines to pseudouridines by forming direct base pairing interactions with substrate RNAs.
Source: Rfam by way of RNAcentral
ACCUGCAUUCGAAAGUGAUUGUGGUCUUGCUGGUGGCCUGGUCAUUGAUAGUGCAGGAAGAGAAACUCCUGAAAGCUUCCCGUGUUUGGAGGACUCAUUCCCUACCUGCCAAACCCUGUAACUUUCACACA